This is a small nuclear RNA of Mustela putorius furo (domestic ferret), 104 nucleotides long. The record is from Ensembl. Lineage: Eukaryota; Metazoa; Chordata; Mammalia; Carnivora; Mustelidae.
GUGCUCACUUCUGCAGCACAAGUACGAAAAUUGGAAUGAUAGAAGAUUUAGCAUGACCCCUGCACAGGAAGGACACGCAAACUCGUGAAGGGUUCCAUAUUGAA